AAUGAUUUUAGAAAAACUGAGGAGUCAACUGGUGGACCCACUAUUAUGAUUCUAUAAACUUUUAACACACUGUCUAACCAUUAUGUAUCUCUUUCAUGCUCUCCAUCUUCACGCUGGAGGUGGAAUCAAACCUAUCAGCUGAAGAAAUGGGAAGGGUACAGAACGUGGCCUCUUCCUGGGACCUCCCUCCGCUAACCACAACCAACAGGGCCCUUAAUGCUCUGCGGUGAAAAAUGGAGCAACAAGGCUGACCGUGACAUCGGGAGAGCUGAGGCAGAUCAUCUUAAACAUGAUGCACCUGGACGGUCCGGUGGCGGAGACUUCAAGAAUUAAAUAAAAUUACAAUGAAAUGGAUAA
This is a long non-coding RNA of Sardina pilchardus (European sardine), 357 nucleotides long. RefSeq lists it as uncharacterized. The transcript is spliced from 2 exons. Lineage: Eukaryota; Metazoa; Chordata; Actinopteri; Clupeiformes; Clupeidae. The record is from RefSeq and is a predicted model, not a curated record.